RNAcentral lists this transfer RNA (60 nucleotides) under Haemaphysalis punctata. RNAcentral describes it as "tRNA-Leu". The record is from RNAcentral. Lineage: Eukaryota; Metazoa; Arthropoda; Arachnida; Ixodida; Ixodidae.
UUAAAGUGGCAGAUUUUAUGCAUGGAAUUUAAGCUUCCUCUACGAUUAAUUCCUUUAAUA